RNAcentral lists this ribosomal RNA (3010 nucleotides) under Salmonella enterica subsp. enterica serovar Senftenberg. RNAcentral describes it as "23S ribosomal RNA". It matches the Rfam family "Bacterial large subunit ribosomal RNA". Lineage: Bacteria; Pseudomonadati; Pseudomonadota; Gammaproteobacteria; Enterobacterales; Enterobacteriaceae. The record is from RNAcentral.
GGGUUGUGAGGUUAAGCGACUAAGCGUACACGGUGGAUGCCCUGGCAGUCAGAGGCGAUGAAGGACGUGCUAAUCUGCGAUAAGCGCCGGUAAGGUGAUAUGAACCGUUAUAACCGGCGAUUUCCGAAUGGGGAAACCCAGUGUGAUUCGUCACACUAUCAUUAACUGAAUCCAUAGGUUAAUGAGGCGAACCGGGGGAACUGAAACAUCUAAGUACCCCGAGGAAAAGAAAUCAACCGAGAUUCCCCCAGUAGCGGCGAGCGAACGGGGAGGAGCCCAGAGCCUGAAUCAGCAUGUGUGUUAGUGGAAGCGUCUGGAAAGGCGCGCGAUACAGGGUGACAGCCCCGUACACAAAAGCGCACAUGCUGUGAGCUCGAUGAGUAGGGCGGGACACGUGGUAUCCUGUCUGAAUAUGGGGGGACCAUCCUCCAAGGCUAAAUACUCCUGACUGACCGAUAGUGAACCAGUACCGUGAGGGAAAGGCGAAAAGAACCCCGGCGAGGGGAGUGAAAAAGAACCUGAAACCGUGUACGUACAAGCAGUGGGAGCACCCUUUGGGGUGUGACUGCGUACCUUUUGUAUAAUGGGUCAGCGACUUAUAUUCUGUAGCAAGGUUAACCGCAUAGGGGAGCCGUAGGGAAACCGAGUCUUAACCGGGCGUUAAGUUGCAGGGUAUAGACCCGAAACCCGGUGAUCUAGCCAUGGGCAGGUUGAAGGUUGGGUAACACUAACUGGAGGACCGAACCGACUAAUGUUGAAAAAUUAGCGGAUGACCUGUGGCUGGGGGUGAAAGGCCAAUCAAACCGGGAGAUAGCUGGUUCUCCCCGAAAGCUAUUUAGGUAGCGCCUCGUGAACUCAUCUCCGGGGGUAGAGCACUGUUUCGGCUAGGGGGCCAUCCCGGCUUACCAACCCGAUGCAAACUGCGAAUACCGGAGAAUGUUAUCACGGGAGACACACGGCGGGUGCUAACGUCCGUCGUGAAGAGGGAAACAACCCAGACCGCCAGCUAAGGUCCCAAAGUCAUGGUUAAGUGGGAAACGAUGUGGGAAGGCCCAGACAGCCAGGAUGUUGGCUUAGAAGCAGCCAUCAUUUAAAGAAAGCGUAAUAGCUCACUGGUCGAGUCGGCCUGCGCGGAAGAUGUAACGGGGCUAAACCAUGCACCGAAGCUGCGGCAGCGAACGUAUCACUUAAAGCGAUUCAGCGGGUUACGAUUGACGGAGCGAAGCGACGUCAAAGCGUAUACAAAGUCGAGUCGGUUUAAGGAUACGUUCGUUGGGUAGGGGAGCGUUCUGUAAGCCUGCGAAGGUGGCCUGUGAGGGUUGCUGGAGGUAUCAGAAGUGCGAAUGCUGACAUAAGUAACGAUAAAGCGGGUGAAAAGCCCGCUCGCCGGAAGACCAAGGGUUCCUGUCCAACGUUAAUCGGGGCAGGGUGAGUCGACCCCUAAGGCGAGGCCGAAAGGCGUAGUCGAUGGGAAACGGGUUAAUAUUCCCGUACUUGGUGUUACUGCGAAGGGGGGACGGAGAAGGCUAUGUUGGCCGGGCGACGGUUGUCCCGGUUUAAGCGUGUAGGUGUGUGUGUUCCAGGUAAAUCCGGUUCACUUUAACACUGAGGCGUGAUGACGAGGCACUACGGUGCUGAAGCAACAAAUGCCCUGCUUCCAGGAAAAGCCUCUAAGCAUCAGGUAACAUCAAAUCGUACCCCAAACCGACACAGGUGGUCAGGUAGAGAAUACCAAGGCGCUUGAGAGAACUCGGGUGAAGGAACUAGGCAAAAUGGUGCCGUAACUUCGGGAGAAGGCACGCUGACACGUAGGUGAAGUGAUUUACUCAUGGAGCUGAAGUCAGUCGAAGAUACCAGCUGGCUGCAACUGUUUAUUAAAAACACAGCACUGUGCAAACACGAAAGUGGACGUAUACGGUGUGACGCCUGCCCGGUGCCGGAAGGUUAAUUGAUGGGGUCAGCGCAAGCGAAGCUCCUGAUCGAAGCCCCGGUAAACGGCGGCCGUAACUAUAACGGUCCUAAGGUAGCGAAAUUCCUUGUCGGGUAAGUUCCGACCUGCACGAAUGGCGUAAUGAUGGCCAGGCUGUCUCCACCCGAGACUCAGUGAAAUUGAACUCGCUGUGAAGAUGCAGUGUACCCGCGGCAAGACGGAAAGACCCCGUGAACCUUUACUAUAGCUUGACACUGAACAUUGAGCCUUGAUGUGUAGGAUAGGUGGGAGGCUUUGAAGUGUGGACGCCAGUCUGCAUGGAGCCGACCUUGAAAUACCACCCUUUAAUGUUUGAUGUUCUAACGUGGACCCGUUACCCGGGUUGCGGACAGUGUCUGGUGGGUAGUUUGACUGGGGCGGUCUCCUCCUAAAGAGUAACGGAGGAGCACGAAGGUUGGCUAAUCCUGGUCGGACAUCAGGAGGUUAGUGCAAUGGCAUAAGCCAGCUUGACUGCGAGCGUGACGGCGCGAGCAGGUGCGAAAGCAGGUCAUAGUGAUCCGGUGGUUCUGAAUGGAAGGGCCAUCGCUCAACGGAUAAAAGGUACUCCGGGGAUAACAGGCUGAUACCGCCCAAGAGUUCAUAUCGACGGCGGUGUUUGGCACCUCGAUGUCGGCUCAUCACAUCCUGGGGCUGAAGUAGGUCCCAAGGGUAUGGCUGUUCGCCAUUUAAAGUGGUACGCGAGCUGGGUUUAGAACGUCGUGAGACAGUUCGGUCCCUAUCUGCCGUGGGCGCUGGAGAACUGAGGGGGGCUGCUCCUAGUACGAGAGGACCGGAGUGGACGCAUCACUGGUGUUCGGGUUGUCAUGCCAAUGGCACUGCCCGGUAGCUAAAUGCGGAAGAGAUAAGUGCUGAAAGCAUCUAAGCACGAAACUUGCCCCGAGAUGAGUUCUCCCUGAGACUUUAAGUCUCCUGAAGGAACGUUGAAGACGACGACGUUGAUAGGCCGGGUGUGUAAGCGCAGCGAUGCGUUGAGCUAACCGGUACUAAUGAACCGUGAGGCUUAACCUUACAACGCCGAAG